UUUAAAUGUAAAAUAAAUAUACUAAAGUAGUAUUAGUUAUGUUCUUGAAAUUUAAAGAUUUUGGCGGUAUUUUAGUCUAUUUAGAGGAACCUGUUCUAUAAUUGAUAAUCCACGAUUAAUUUUACUUAGUUUCUAUAAAUUUGUAUACCGUCGUUAUAAGAAGAUUUUAAAAGAAUAUAAAUUUUUAAUAUUUUAUAUAAAAAAAUAUAUCAGAUCAAGGUGCAGUUUAUAAUUAAGAAGAAAUGGGUUACAAUAAAUUUAUUUAUACGGAUUAAAGUGAGAAUGUAAUUUUAUGAAGGUGGAUUUAAUAGUAAUAAAAUUAAUUUAAAUUUUAUGAUUUUAGCUCUAAAAUAUG
Molecule: ribosomal RNA, 355 nt
Filed under: Carabus hortensis hortensis
Lineage: Eukaryota; Metazoa; Arthropoda; Insecta; Coleoptera; Carabidae
Description: partial 12S ribosomal RNA
Source: RNAcentral